GCAUAGAUAGCUCAGUUGCUUAGAGCGUGCUGCUGAUAACACCAAGGGUUGCAGGUUCGAUCCCUGUAUGGGACAGCUGCA
Non-coding RNA from Podarcis lilfordi (Lilford's wall lizard), 81 nucleotides. The record is from the annotation of a GenBank genome assembly. NCBI's taxonomy places the organism in Eukaryota, Metazoa, Chordata, Lepidosauria, Squamata, Lacertidae.